AGUCAACGAUUGGAGACCACAAUCUGUUUUUACUAUGCCUCCAAGAAAAAGGACAAUUAUCAUAGCAAAUGUUAUACGUUCUGAUAAAAAAAUUCACAAAGGAAGCAAAGGCUAAUAGAAGAAGAAUUUUGACAAGAAAAAAAAAUGCAUUAACAACAAAUAUUAUAGAUAUUACUGUAACUCGGGAUUUCGGAAGACCAACUUUCAUAUGAGUUUUGUGAUGCAGUUUUGUAGUUUGAAGAAAGGAGUGAACGAAACAAAAAAAAUUCUCAUCGAAAAUUUUCAUUAUGUUGCAUGCAAGGUAAAGUUCAACUUCCUCUAAUGAAAG
This is a long non-coding RNA of Mercurialis annua (annual mercury), 328 nucleotides long. RefSeq lists it as uncharacterized. The transcript has 3 exons. NCBI's taxonomy places the organism in Eukaryota, Viridiplantae, Streptophyta, Magnoliopsida, Malpighiales, Euphorbiaceae. The record is from RefSeq and is a predicted model, not a curated record.